RNAcentral lists this ribosomal RNA (221 nucleotides) under uncultured bacterium. RNAcentral's name for it is "partial 16S ribosomal RNA". It matches the Rfam family "Bacterial small subunit ribosomal RNA", at positions 524 to 748 of the family's 1533-position model. The record is from RNAcentral.
UACGUAGGGUCCGAGCGUUGUCCGGAAUUAUUGGGCGUAAAGAGCUCGUAGGCGGUCCGUUAAGUCGGAAGUGAAUCUCAAGGCUCAACCUUGAAUCGCUUCGAUACUGGCGGACUUGAGGCAGGUAGGGAAGGUGGAAUUCCUGGUGUAGCGGUGAAAUGCGCAGAUAUCAGGAGGAACACCGGUAGGCGAAGGCGGACCUUCCGUGGGCCGUGAGUUCG